GUGGGAUUAGCUAGUUGGUGAGGUAAGGGCUCACCAAGGCGACGAUCCCUAGCUGGUCUGAGAGGAUGAUCAGCCACACUGGAACUGAGACACGGUCCAGACUCCUACGGGAGGCAGCAGUGGGGAAUAUUGCACAAUGGGCGCAAGCCUGAUGCAGCCAUGCCGCGUGUGUGAAGAAGGCCUUCGGGUUGUAAAGCACUUUCAGUCGUGAGGAAGGUGGUGUAGUUAAUAGCUGUAUCAUUUGACGUUAGCGACAGAAGAAGCACCGGCUAACUCCGUGCCAGCAGCCGCGGUAAUACGGAGGGUGCGAGCGUUAAUCGGAAUUACUGGGCGUAAAGCGCAUGCAGGUGGUUUGUUAAGUCAGAUGUGAAAGCCCGGGGCUCAACCUCGGAAUUGCAUUUGAAACUGGCAGACUAGAGUACUGUAGAGGGGGGUAGAAUUUCAGGUGUAGCGGUGAAAUGCGUAGAGAUCUGAAGGAAUACCGGUGGCGAAGGCGGCCCCCUGGACAGAUACUGACACUCAGAUGCGAAAGCGUGGGGAGCAAACAGGAUUAGAUACCCUGGUAGUCCACGCCGUAAACGAUGUCUACUUGGAGGUUGUGGCCUUGAGCCGUGGCUUUCGGAGCUAACGCGUUAAGUAGACCGCCUGGGGAGUACGGUCGCAAGAUUAAAACUCAAAUGAAUUGACGGGGGCCCGCACAAGCGGUGGAGCAUGUGGUUUAAUUCGAUGCAACGCGAAGAACCUUACCUACUCUUGACAUCCAGAGAACUUUCCAGAGAUGGAUUGGUGCCUUCGGGAACUCUGAGACAGGUGCUGCAUG
Molecule: ribosomal RNA, 820 nt
Filed under: Vibrio sp.
Lineage: Bacteria; Pseudomonadati; Pseudomonadota; Gammaproteobacteria; Vibrionales; Vibrionaceae
Description: bacterial SSU rRNA
Rfam family: Bacterial small subunit ribosomal RNA
Source: RNAcentral